CCUACGGGGGGCUGCAGUGGGGAAUAUUGGACAAUGGGCGCAAGCCUGAUCCAGCAAUGCCGCGUGUGUGAAGAAGGCCUGCGGGUUGUAAAGCACUUUAAGCAGGAAAGAAGGGGUGAAAGUUAAUACCUUUCAUCAUUGACGUUACCUGCAGAAUAAGCACCGGCUAACUCCGUGCCAGCAGCCGCGGUAAUACGGCGGGUGCAAGCGUUGAUCGGAAUGACUGGGCGUAAUGCGCAGUCAGUCGGGUAAGCCCUGGGCUUAACCUGGGAACUGCGGUGGAUACUGUCUGGCUAGAGUGUGGUAGAGGGGAGUGGAAUUUCCGGUGUAGCAGUGAAAUGCGUAGAGAUCGGAAGGAACACCAGUGGCGAAGGCGGCUCCCUGGACUAACACUGACGCUGAGGUGCGAAAGCGUGGGGAGCAAACAGGAUUAGAUACCCCAGUAGUC
RNAcentral lists this ribosomal RNA (448 nucleotides) under uncultured bacterium. Its description in RNAcentral is "partial 16S ribosomal RNA". It matches the Rfam family "Bacterial small subunit ribosomal RNA", at positions 338 to 795 of the family's 1533-position model. The record is from RNAcentral.